This 159-nucleotide small nuclear RNA is filed under the name Castor canadensis (American beaver). RNAcentral describes it as "U1 spliceosomal RNA (ENSCCNG00000025113.1)". It matches the Rfam family "U1 spliceosomal RNA". From Rfam's summary of the family: U1 is a small nuclear RNA (snRNA) component of the spliceosome (involved in pre-mRNA splicing). Its 5' end forms complementary base pairs with the 5' splice junction, thus defining the 5' donor site of an intron. The record is from RNAcentral. Lineage: Eukaryota; Metazoa; Chordata; Mammalia; Rodentia; Castoridae.
UAAGUUACUUGGCAGGGGAGAUACCAUGAUCAUGAAGGUGGUUUUCCCCAGGACAAGGCUUAUCCAUUGUACUCCAGAUGUGCUGACACCUGCGACUUCCCCAAAUGUGGGAAACUAUAAUUUGUAGUAGUGGGAGACUGCAUUCGUGCUCUCCUCUCA